AAAUGAAACCGACCGCACUCUCUGUUACUAAUAAUAAAACUAAGCAGGAUGUUCCGUAGUUUAAAGAAAAACCAUGGAGAUGACCUGUCUCUCCUGUAAAUGCUUCAUCUGUCUUUUCUGCAGUGAUUCGGUUGGACUAUAAUUCUCCUAUCAACUCGGCACUGUGAUUGCACUGCAUUUGGAACAUGAAAGGAGCAGGAUUGCUGGCUGAGGAAGGCAGCUGAAUGGCAUCCGAACUGCUUCAAGAACACUUAAAAUAAAUAUGAGCAA
Long non-coding RNA from Columba livia (rock pigeon), 270 nucleotides. RefSeq lists it as uncharacterized. Lineage: Eukaryota; Metazoa; Chordata; Aves; Columbiformes; Columbidae. The record is from RefSeq and is a predicted model, not a curated record. The transcript is spliced from 2 exons.